This 390-nucleotide ribosomal RNA is filed under the name uncultured bacterium. Its description in RNAcentral is "bacterial SSU rRNA". It matches the Rfam family "Bacterial small subunit ribosomal RNA", at positions 28 to 415 of the family's 1533-position model. The record is from RNAcentral.
GACGAACGUUGGCGGCGUGCCUAAUACAUGCAAGUCAACUGAAAUACCGGUAGCAAUACUGGUAUGGAGGUGGCGCACGGGUGAGUAACACGUAGGUAAUCUGCCUUCAGGUCUGACAUAACCCAUCGAAAGGUGAGCUAAUAUCAGAUGAUGCAGCGGCUUGACAUCAAGACAGUUGUUAAAGCUUCGGCGCCUGAAGAUGAGCCUGCGUCUGAUUAGCUAGUUGGCGGGGUAACGGCCCACCAAGGCUGCGAUCAGUAGCUGGUCUGAGAGGAUGAUCAGUCACACUGGAACUGAGACACGGUCCAGACUCCUACGGGAGGCAGCAGUAAGGAAUAUUGCUCAAUGGCCGAAAGGCUGAAGCAGCAACGCCGCGUGAGGGAUGAAGGG